This 254-nucleotide ribosomal RNA is filed under the name uncultured bacterium. RNAcentral's name for it is "partial 16S ribosomal RNA". It matches the Rfam family "Bacterial small subunit ribosomal RNA", at positions 524 to 776 of the family's 1533-position model. The record is from RNAcentral.
CACGUAGGGGGCAAGCGUUGUCCGGAUUUAUUGGGCGUAAAGAGCUCGUAGGCGGCUUAGUAAGUCGGGUGUGAAACCUCCAGGCUCAACCUGGAGACGCCACCCGAUACUGCUGUGGCUAGAGUCCGGUAGGGGAGCGUGGAAUUCCUGGUGUAGCGGUGAAAUGCGCAGAUAUCAGGAGGAACACCAGCGGCGAAGGCGGCGCUCUGGGCCGGUACUGACGCUGAGGAGCGAAAGCGCGGGGAGCGAACGGG